Long non-coding RNA from Serinus canaria (Common canary), 1621 nucleotides. RefSeq lists it as uncharacterized. The transcript is spliced from 4 exons. Lineage: Eukaryota; Metazoa; Chordata; Aves; Passeriformes; Fringillidae. The record is from RefSeq and is a predicted model, not a curated record.
CUGCCCCAGGAAAUCGGCCGUGCUGACGUGGGAAGGCGCUGCCUCGCUCCGCGCGCACCGUCCCGGGUUCUCGGGCUGCCGGGUUCCAGCACUUUUCCGACCGAAUCAAAUACAGUUUUCUAAAUCAUAAUCUAUGAGCAGAUUAAAACCCUUCUCCUGUAGUCUCAUGUAGUCUCCUAUUCUGAAUCCUAUCCCUGCCCGGCAUCGCAGCAGCAGCCCAAGGAGUGCAAAAAAUAUAUAUGGAAAAUGCAGGCGCAUCAGCAGGUUCAGCUUGGAUGUUGGCAAAAGGAACUGCAGCAUCCUUCAAGUCCUCCCCUGUGGCCGUCACCUCCUGACCAGAAAUGUGCCAAGAUGCAUAGAUGACAUUCUGUUGCUAACAAAUGUCCAGAAAACAACUGAAAAGAGUGGUAUCACAAGGCAAGAUUUCCCUCCUGCCCAGAGGCCAGGGCCAAUGAAGCUUUUGGCGUGCACAUAACUCCUAAGCAUAAUGCAACAGAGCAAUGGAACUACCGACAACUGCCCUCUCCAUUCCUCUCCCACACAGUGUCAGCCCAAACCUGCAUGCUGAGAUGUGGCUAAACUGUUCCUUUCACUCCAUUUUAACAAAUGACUAUCUAUGACUGUCACUGCCAAGAUAAGUACUGUCCCCCUGCUAUUGCCUAUUUACAGUACUUGCAUAUUCUAUCACAGAUUAAUUCAAAGGCUGAAUGGUUUUGGCCUACUAUUAUUUAAAUUGUUUGGAGAUGGGAAAUGAGAAAAACUUUCCUAAGCUUUUUCUUUAACCAACAAACAGGCAAAGUAUUUUUUCAAAUGACUGUUUCUGAUGCAGUCUGACCUGUCAUUCUACAUCCCCCUGCCUCUCAGUCACCACGAGGUCCAUGAAGAACAAUACAAUGUUACAUUCCCAGAAUAUACUCUUUCCUUCUAUGCAAGCAAGUCAGCCAAACAAUUACAUGGGCUGUUUUAACUGCUGGCAAUGUCUCAUUUUCCAGCAUUAUUCUUUAAGCACUAGAUGGUGCUCCAUUCCUCUUGCCCAUUCACCAUUUGUGUUCCCCUCUCAAAAUGGAAAAAGAUACAAGCUGUGGAUAAGCAGGGAAUCUUAGCUGCAGUUUCUGAUUCAGUAGGAAAGAUCUUAUUUAACUUCAGUUAACUGUUUCAUCUAACACCAGUUGACUAUAUGACAACAUCAAUACAUGAGUUUACUUUUUUUUUGCUGUUAUUGCACUGCAUUUUAGCAAGAACUCCUCACUAUGAAAAAACAGCAAUAUACAAUUCAGUGAAUGGCAGCAUUGAUUUCUAGCUGGAAAUCUGUAAUCUGACUUGUGAAGACAUCCAGGCCAGUUGGCAGUUGUGUAAAAGAGAAAGAGUCAAACUACACCCCUUAUGAAUAGAAAAGCGAGAAUUACUUAACUGUGGCAAGAAGCUGAGCAAUCCAUAUGCACACAGUCCUUGGCCUGUCAGCAUCCAUCUGGAUCUCACCUGGCUGCUACAGGGCUUGGGAGGUAUGCUGAAGAGGAAAAGCAGAAUUUUGAGUACUGUUGUAGAGAUUAAACGAUUAAUGGGUAAAAGAUAAAACCAAAGCUAAUAACACAAUUAAUAAAACACAAUUAUUUCAGCUGCA